This 242-nucleotide ribosomal RNA is filed under the name uncultured bacterium. RNAcentral describes it as "partial 16S ribosomal RNA". It matches the Rfam family "Bacterial small subunit ribosomal RNA", at positions 90 to 334 of the family's 1533-position model. The record is from RNAcentral.
ACGGAGCGGCGAACGGGUGAGUAACACGUGGGCAACCUGCCCCUAGCUCUGGGACAACUCCUCGAAAGAGGGGCUAAUACCGGAUACGACCUCGGACGACAUCUUCUGAGGUGGAAAGUUUUUCGGCUAGGGAUGGGCCCGCGGCCUAUCAGCUUGUUGGUGAGGUAACGGCCCACCAAGGCGACGACGGGUAGCCGGCCUGAGAGGGCGACCGGCCACACUGGGACUGAGACACGGCCCAG